Molecule: long non-coding RNA, 378 nt
Organism: Grammomys surdaster
Lineage: Eukaryota; Metazoa; Chordata; Mammalia; Rodentia; Muridae
Exons: 2
Source: RefSeq, a predicted model, not a curated record
GUAGUGUGUGCAGAGCAAGAUUACAAGGGAAAUACAAAGAGAAGCCAGGGCACCACAGCGGAGAGUGCACCCAAAAGCGAUGAAGGCAGAAAGAACCCUUAGAAAAGACAAAGCAGAGAGCCUAGAGGAAGUCAUACUAUUAAUACUGGAAGUCCAAGAGAUCAUCCACCCUCAGGACACUGGCAACCAUGCGCCUCGCAGGCAACAAACUGUAACAAGGAAGAGGUGGAUCUUAAGGGCCCGACCUGUGCGAGGGUUCACGCACACUGCCUGAGCAUUGUACUAGACCUAACAAAGGAGACAAGCUGCAGCUCGGAAACUCUCGCCUUGAGCAAUAUAACGGGAGAGGCAGUCAAUAAAAUAAGGAUUUCAACAGAG